RNAcentral lists this ribosomal RNA (253 nucleotides) under uncultured bacterium. RNAcentral describes it as "partial 16S ribosomal RNA". It matches the Rfam family "Bacterial small subunit ribosomal RNA", at positions 524 to 776 of the family's 1533-position model. The record is from RNAcentral.
UACGUAGGGGGCAAGCGUUGUCCGGAUUCAUUGGGCGUAAAGAGCGUGUAGGCGGCCAGGUAGGUCGGUUGUGAAAACUGGAGGCUCAACCUUCAGAGGUCGACCGAAACCAUCUGGCUAGAGUCCGGGAGAGGAGAGUGGAAUUCCCAGUGUAGAGGUGAAAUUCGUAGAUAUUGGGAAGAACACCAGUGGCGAAGGCGGCUCACUGGACCGGAACUGACGCUGAGGCGCGAAAGCGUGGGGAGCAAACAGG